This 460-nucleotide ribosomal RNA is filed under the name uncultured bacterium. RNAcentral describes it as "partial 16S ribosomal RNA". It matches the Rfam family "Bacterial small subunit ribosomal RNA", at positions 338 to 795 of the family's 1533-position model. The record is from RNAcentral.
CCUACGGGAGGCAGCAGUGAGGAAUAUUGGUCAAUGGGCGCGAGCCUGAACCAGCCAAGUCGCGUGAAGGAUGACUGCCCUACGAGUUGUAACCUUCUUUUUUAAAGAAAUAAAGUAAGGCACGUGUCCCUUUUUGACUGUACUAUAUGAAUCCGGCUCGGCUAACUCCAUGCCAGCAGCCGCGGUAAUACGGAGGAUCCGAGCGUUAUCGGGAUUUAGUGGGUGUAAAGGGAGCGUAGGUGGGUUGUUAAGUCAGUUGUGAAAUUUUGCGGCUUAACCGUAAAAUUGCAAUUGAAACUGGCAGUCUUGAGUACGGUAGAGGUAGGUGGAAUUCGUGGUGUAGCGGUGAAAUGCGUAGAUAUCAAGAAGAAUUCCGAUUGCGAAGGCAGCUCACUGGAAUACAACUGACGCUGAGGCUCGAAAGUGUGGGUAUCAAACAGGAUUAGAUACCCGUGUAGUC